AUUUUCACUGAUUUUAUCUACAUAUUAGGUAUAAGAUUUUGAGUCUUUAUGUUAUUUCUCGAGUCUUUUUAGUGUCUUUUAAGGUAUUCUAUGCAAUGGGACAACAAUGGAGAUAAGGAGACAUUUUGGAGCAAAAGCUAAGGAAAAGGAAGCUAAGGACGAUUUUGGUUCAGGAAUCAGCGAGGAGUGUCGAUCGACACACUCUUGGUGUCGAUCGACACCAGUUUCGGCCCAGCAAAAACCCUAGACGCCUUCGAGUUUACAAAAGAUCAAGUUUGCCCCAGAAGAUUUCCCUAUUAGCAUUAUUAGUCCCUUGACGUUUUUAGGGUCUAUAUAUAUUGUUUUUAGACCUAAGUUUCUUUUAUCAAGUCUUUUAUCAAGUUUUCUACAAACCAUAUUACUGAGAGACAUAAACCAGUCGUCGAUUGUUUUCAGAGUUUUAUUGAGAUCUAUAUACAGUGAAGAGAUCCAUUCUUUCCCCUUCUCUAUUUACUGUGUUUUUGCUU
RNAcentral lists this small RNA (506 nucleotides) under Arabidopsis thaliana (thale cress). RNAcentral describes it as "ATSL264370". The record is from RNAcentral. Lineage: Eukaryota; Viridiplantae; Streptophyta; Magnoliopsida; Brassicales; Brassicaceae.